RNAcentral lists this ribosomal RNA (374 nucleotides) under uncultured Katablepharidophyta. Its description in RNAcentral is "partial small subunit ribosomal RNA". It matches the Rfam family "Eukaryotic small subunit ribosomal RNA", at positions 30 to 432 of the family's 1831-position model. The record is from RNAcentral. Lineage: Eukaryota; Cryptophyceae; Kathablepharidacea.
GCUUGUCUCAAAGAUUAAGCCAUGCAUGUCUAAGUAUAAAUAAUUCUAUACUGUGAAACUGCGAAUGGCUCAUUAUAUCAGUUAUAGUUUAUUUGAUAGUCCCUUACUACUUGGAUAACCGUAGUAACUCUAGAGCUAAUACAUGCACAAAAUCCCGACUUACGAAGGGAUGUAUUUAUUAGAUACAAACCAACAUCGUGGUGAUUCAUAAUAACUUUCGGAUCGUUUACGAUGCAUCAUUCAAGUUUCUGCCCUAUCAGCUUUGGAUGGUAGGGUAUUGGCCUACCAUGGCUUUAACGGGUAACGGAGAAUUAGGGUUCGAUUCCGGAGAGGGAGCCUGAGAAAUGGCUACCACAUCCAAGGAAGGCAGCAGG